CUACGGGCGGCUGCAGUGAGGAAUAUUGCACAAUGGGGGGAACCCUGAUGCAGCAACGCCGCGUGGAGGAUGACGCAUUUCGGUGUGUAAACUCCUUUUAUAUGUCAAGAAAAUGACGGUAGCAUAUGAAUAAGCACCGGCUAACUCCGUGCCAGCAGCCGCGGUAAUACGGAGGGUGCAAGCGUUACUCGGAAUCACUGGGCGUAAAGGACGCGUAGGCGGGUUGGAAAGUCAGGUGUGAAAUCCUACAGCUUAACUGUAGAACUGCACUUGAAACUUCUAAUCUAGAGUAUGGGAGGGGGAGAUGGGAUUAGUGGUGUAGGGGUAAAAUCCGUAGAUAUCACUAGGAAUACCUAAAGCGAAGGCGAUCUCCUGGAACAUUACUGACGCUAAGGCGUGAAAGCGUGGGGAGCAAACAGGAUUAGAUACCCUUGUAGUC
RNAcentral lists this ribosomal RNA (439 nucleotides) under uncultured bacterium. Its description in RNAcentral is "partial 16S ribosomal RNA". It matches the Rfam family "Bacterial small subunit ribosomal RNA", at positions 339 to 795 of the family's 1533-position model. The record is from RNAcentral.